Ixodes scapularis (black-legged tick) is the source of this 1355-nucleotide long non-coding RNA. RefSeq lists it as uncharacterized. The record is from RefSeq and is a predicted model, not a curated record. The transcript is spliced from 2 exons. NCBI's taxonomy places the organism in Eukaryota, Metazoa, Arthropoda, Arachnida, Ixodida, Ixodidae.
CCUCUGUGUCAUUGUUUGCUGAAAGAUGUGCGCUCGUUCUGAACACACGUCGAUUACUUUUAUAAUUUGCUUCCUGACCUAUAAUUUCGUGAGCUCCCACACUUGUUCCAAGCAAUUGUAUAUUUAUAUUUGGCCCCCCCUAGUCAGGGUAACCUGUUUAAUAUACUUUGAAACUACAUCACAUAUCUGCUGAAGAGGCAAUUUCGUACAUACCCGAUGCGUUUCCCCCUUCCCCACAGGUACUUCUUGCAUACGUCGAGAGUAAACUUCCUUUAGGUGCUUCGAAUUCGUAGCGGGUAGGUGUAUAUCUACAUCUUGUUGCGGAGGAAAUGUUAAACGCGACAGGUUGGCACUUCCAGUUAUUGCGCGGCUAUCUAAUUUUUUUUCUUCUGACAGAUGCAUUCAACAAGACUAUAGAAGCCAUUACAAUAUUUUUUUUCCAAACGCGCGCCUUUAGAUACUUGUAUUAUGUGAGCCGUGGUUAUUUCAUUCUUUCUAGGAUUUAUAGAUGCGGCAGAUAGCAGUUGAUUUACUAUUGUUGAGCGGUUUGUCUCCUUACGUUUACAGACACGCUGUCGAAAUCCUGUACCGCAUGCCCCGGCCAGACUUUGUGUGCACCGACAGACAGAAUAUCCUGACGUCCAAUUGGAAAAGCUGAACCCACGCUGCCACAAAUCUUGAAGGCGCUCGGUCUAGCGAAGAGAAGCACCAAGUUCCCGUCCCAUUUCAAGCAGCGCCAAGCCAAGAAAUUCGCCUUAAGUAUUAUAUGCCUGACAAUUUUAAGACAAGUUUCACUUUAAUGGGGUUUCAAAGUGACUCUUGCAAAUUCGAAAAAACGCAAUGGGAGAAUACGGCUUCCCUGUAAGAAGACUCGAAUAGCGGUGGAACCGUAUGCAAAGCUGCGAGCUCGUGCUCGCAAAUGUCGCUAUUUAUUCCUGUCCCAGCAAAACGGGCUAAACGGUGCACAAAAACUUUUAUGAUCUCAAGAGUUGUACCCUCCAGUCAUGUAAGUGAUGGGAGAGAGGUAAGAGGUAAGUAUAUAUAAACGAGUUCAAUGUUUAAUAACAAGAACUCACAAGAAGCCAGCAGCGCAAACUCGACACAGCCAACAAACAUGACAAAAAAUUAUCAAUUCAAGUAAACGUUUUCACCCAUGUGAAACUUCGAUCUCGUGAUAGGUAACACAGACAGGUACACGCAUUUCUGGAAUUUGUUGCGAGAUAUAUGAAUGCUAACAUAGGCGCGAUGUCCGGCCUAAGCGGCCACCGUGGGAAAACUUCUGAUAAACUCUGGGCUGCAGCCUCACAAAGGAAAUUAACGUUUUAGCGUUUUCAACAUUCUCGUAGGCCAUACGU